AACGCUAGCUACAGGCUUAACACAUGCAAGUCGAGGGGAAACGAUAUUGGAAGCUUGCUUCCGAUAGGCGUCGACCGGCGCACGGGUGAGUAACGCGUAUCCAACCUGCCCACCACUUGGGGAUAACCUUGCGAAAGUAAGACUAAUACCCAAUGACGUCUCUAGAAGACAUCUGAAAGAGAUUAAAGGUUUAUCGGUGAUGGAUGGGGAUGCGUCUGAUUAGCUUGUUGGCGGGGUAACGGCCCACCAAGGCGACGAUCAGUAGGGGUUCUGAGAGGAAGGUCCCCCACAUUGGAACUGAGACACGGUCCAAACUCCUACGGGAGGCAGCAGUGAGGAAUAUUGGUCAAUGGACGAGAGUCUGAACCAGCCAAGUAGCGUGCAGGAAGACGGCCCUAUGGGUUGUAAACUGCUUUUAUAAGGGAAUAAAGUGAGUCUCGUGAGACUUUUUGCAUGUACCUUAUGAAUAAGGACCGGCUAAUUCCGUGCCAGCAGCCGCGGUAAUACGGAAGGUCCGGGCGUUAUCCGGAUUUAUUGGGUUUAAAGGGAGCGUAGGCCGGAGAUUAAGCGUGUUGUGAAAUGUAGACGCUCAACGUCUGCACUGCAGCGCGAACUGGUUUCCUUGAGUACGCACAAAGUGGGCGGAAUUCGUGGUGUAGCGGUGAAAUGCUUAGAUAUCACGAAGAACUCCGAUUG
RNAcentral lists this ribosomal RNA (696 nucleotides) under uncultured bacterium. RNAcentral's name for it is "bacterial SSU rRNA". It matches the Rfam family "Bacterial small subunit ribosomal RNA", at positions 32 to 715 of the family's 1533-position model. The record is from RNAcentral.